GGAGGGAUGGCCGAGUGGUUUAAGGCACCGGUCUUGAAAACCGGAGCCCGAAAGGGCCGCGGGUUCGAAUCCUGCUCCCUCCGCCA
This 86-nucleotide transfer RNA is filed under the name bacterium. RNAcentral's name for it is "tRNA-Ser". It matches the Rfam family "tRNA". Rfam says of the family: Transfer RNA (tRNA) molecules are approximately 80 nucleotides in length. Their secondary structure includes four short double-helical elements and three loops (D, anti-codon, and T loops). RNAcentral also lists the same sequence under 1 other name. The record is from RNAcentral.